AGUAUGUUCCUGCCAGUGAGACAGUCACGGGAGUUUCCAGAGCUGCCAGGCCAUCAAAGCAGGAAAACACCUGACACCCUGGACCUGGGCUGGACCCACCACCCUCACCCUCUGGAGUCGCACGCGCUCCCAGGCGAGCCCUGAGCCCUGAGCCCCUCCCUCGAGCAGCUGCUGUAAGGGUAUUUAUAGCCUGGAGCGUGAGGGGGCAAGGACACGCGCUUUAUUUCGGAAGUGAUAAUUCCAGCUCCAGGUGGGUGAACCCCGGAGGACCUAGUGUCCCCCCCCAACUCCAUUCUCACCUAUACCGCUCGGGACAGUCCCUGCUCGCGCCCAGCCCACCUAGAAACAGUCCCUUCUUGCUGAGUUCCAAGUGUGCAGGCGAAAGAGAUGGGGCUGUUCUUCAGAUUUCUCUUCCCAGCUUUCAGCCCCCGAGCUGCCCACAGCGCUCACCCUCCACAUCCCGGCCGCCCUCUGGACAUGCGGGUGAAGAGUGCGGCGCGACGCUGACCUCUAGUGGUCGGCCUUGGUAGUGCAGGGCAGACGGCCGAGGCUGAGCCGCGGGCCGUGCGGGGACAGGCCACUUGUUCCCAUCCCGCUUUCCUCGCCCCACUCCUCGUUUACCCGCACCCCUCUGCUCCUUGGUUGAGGCUCAAGGAUUGAGCCUGACAACCCAGGCGUCUUUGGGUAGUUGCCUUCCCGGGACUAGGAACCCUAGGAAUGGGUGGCGGGGUGGGGCGGGGACAGUUCUGUCUCUCCGCUCACCCUGUCCCGCCGCCGCCCUCAUAGGGCCAGGCACGCAGUUAAUGUCUGCCAUCCAUCUAUUCGUCAAAUAUUUGCGGCACACCUGCCUAGCCAGAGAGAAAAGGACACGACACGACCCGCCCCCCGGGGCUCGCAAGCCAGUCCUGGGGCCUGACCGUGCGGGAACCGCGGCAAACACUGGACUGCGAAAGCGCAAAGGAGACCGAACCCAUUGGGGGCGGAGGGGGAGGAGGGCCAGGCAAGUCCCUGGAGGAGACAAUGCUCUGAAAGACGAGCAGAAGUUAGCUGGGUGGAGAAGCGGAGAGCGGCGCUCCGGUCGCGGGGCUCAGCCUCCGCAGAGGCUCCGCGGCUGAGGGCGAGCAGGAGAAGGUAAGGCCACGCCCCCCUGUUGUGAUUGGCCAACCGGGGUCCGACGUGUGGGCCCGCUGGCUGACAUGAUAGGUUCUCCGGUGUCCCAAGAGCGGAGCCCGCCGGCAGGCGCCGGGCCCCCUGGGAGCUGGGCUGCGACCUCUGCUGGGGUCUCCGCGGGUCGCCCCCCUAGGGCUUCUCCAGGCUGCGGUACUUCUUGCGCUGCACGGACACCGGGUCCUUAAACAGCACCGGGUCCAGACGCAGACGAGAGGACAGCAAGGGCAUGUGGCCGAACGCUGCCGCUAUCUGGUUGAUGCAGUCGGGGGCUGGGGCAGGCGGCUUUGGCCUGGGCCCCGGGCCCCCAGGCGCCUAAGAGGGAAAGAAGCAAUGCAUUAACGGGCUUCUCUGCCCUUCCGAACUCCCCACGCCCGUGCAGCAAGAAAGACUGGAAUUAGACAGUGAGAGGGAAUCCUCUCCGGCAUCCCCGCCCAAUCCCUGCCAGUUCCGACCAAUCCCCCUCAGCCCUCACCAGUGGAGCAGCCUCCUGGCGCUGCUUGCCAUAGGGCACCUUGAUAGGGGGCAGCUUGGUGACUGCUGCUACUAUGAAAUUCAUCAGGACGUCCACACAGGUGGGUGCCUCAUCUGCCAGGGUCCUCAGAGCCUUGGGCAGGGAGUGGGUGAAGAGAGUGUGGUAAUACCUGGGCAAGAGGAAAAGACAGGGAGAGGCUGCAGCCAAAUCCAUCCCCAGGCCCCAUUCUCCUCCCUCCUGACCUCACCUCUCCCUUUGACCCCCAUCCCCAAGCCUCUGAGCCCUGGCUGCCUCAGAGAGCUCCCAUCCCUGGCGUGAACAGCUCUCCAUUGUGCUGUGCCCCGUGGCUUAUCUGCAGUUAGUGGUGUGUUCCCUGCCCUCUCCCUCACAGCUCCUUGGGCCCCCCAUCCUUGGGCUCUGAGCGCUGAACUCAGAGCCAGAAUUAGAUGGGUUUGGAUCAGCUGGUUUCAAAGCCAUCAAACAUGGAAGCCCAAAGAACAGUUGUGGAUGAACCAGGCUGAUACCGCUCCGGGUGAGCUCACUUCACACGGCCCUCAGACAGGCCAGCCUCAUCUCGCAGACAUUAGGUAAUUCUUCACUCUACUGAGAAUUCCCUGCAGAGCUCCUGAGUAAUCUAUAAGAGGUUCCACGUUAUGCAUAUUUGAUUUAAACAUGUUUAAGGAACCCCUCUAAAGAGGUCUUACAGAAUUCAGUCUCUGCCCUAAGACCGGAGCACUUCAGGCAGCUUCUGGAAGGUCUGGGAUGUUCCCCAACUCAUAACAUCCACAUUCAUAAAGCAUCAGGACUAUUUUCUUGUCACCCCACCACCAGCAAACCCACACACUGCCCUUACUCACUGCAUGGCUCUACUUCAAAUAACAAUAGCUACCAUUUGUGGAACCUCUGUGCCAGGGACUUCAUUUAAUGUUCACACCAGCCCUGGGAGGUGAAUCCAUCCCAUUUUACAGAUGAGAAAACAAACUCUAGAGAAGUGAGGAGAUUUGCCCAGGAUCCCACAGCUGGGAAGUGGCAGAUCUCGGCCUUGAACCUGGAUCCCUGGGGUCUAGGCCACUCUGCUCCGUUCGGGGUGGGGGUGGGGUCUCUGGUCCUCUGAUACUCUGAUCCCUGUGCAGGGUAGGGGUCUGUACCUAUGGUAGAAGGCGGCUGUGGUGAGAACCAUGGAGAAUUCGUUGGUCCUCUCAGCAGUGUAGCCCCAGCCACCAUGGGCCUCGUCCCAGAAAUGGCUCGACGUCAGGAAGCCCACCAUCCGCUCUGGGAAGCUCUGCCACACCAGAAAGGCAAAGUCCACCUGGGGAGGGACUCAAGUGAGCUGUGAGGAAGGACCUCCUAAAUGCCUAGAACAUCCAGGGAAAUGGAGGCAGGGGCAGCCUGGCUGAGGGGCCCGGGCAGGACUCAGGGGAGAGGGCGCGGGAGCCAAGACUUGGAAUUGGCUGGAAGUGUGGCAUGAAAGCUUCCAGGGGCCACAAAAACAAUUUCUCAAAAGAGUCCAUGGAAAGCCUCAACGAGACUCCUAAAGAGGAGGCUGCCUGGCUUGCUGGGGUGGUUUCAAAUGCAAGAGGCUGGACCUCAUGACCUGGGGUCCCCUCAACCCUGGGAACCUGAGGGGCUGCCAGGGCCCUCUGGCUCUGUGUCUACCCACACUGGGCUUCUCUUGGGCCCAGCCCUCACCUCACUUGUGGAAAGACUGCUGCGGGCAUCGAGGCUGAGGAUGGCAUCUGUUCUGAUGGUGCUAUAUGGGUAGAAGCGAUCACUAACCUGCAGGGAGUGGGGGAGGGGAACUCAGCCAUUGGAACAUUCCCCCCACCCCCAUCCAAUAAGUAGGAGCCAUUCAGGCACAGUGUAGACGCCUGAGCCAUGAAUAAAGCCUCCCUUCAGGCACAGUGUAGACGCCUGGGCCUCAAAUAUGGCAAGCCUGUGCAGAGCUCGUUUUGGGACCUGGGCAACUCAUUUGACCUCUUUGGAUCUCAGUUUCCCCUUUGGUCAAAUGGGGCAGUUGGUCUCUAGGGGCCCUUCCACUUUUGACAUCUUGGAAUUCCUCCAUUGUCAUAUUGUCACAUCAACUCUGGGAGGAGUUGUCAAACUUCCCUCAUUUGAAAGAAACAGAUCUAGAGAGACGAAGGGACUUGCCCACAACCAUGCGGCAGGCAGGUGGUUCACACCAACCACGGUUCCCAGAAGCCUCCCCUUCCUGGCCCCGUGUGCUGCCCUUGGUCCGUAUUUUCUCAAGAACCUGGGUUUCUCCUCUGUUCCUCUUCUGAGAUGUCAGCGCUCUCCUCUGUCUUUCCCCAUCAUGUAAGCCCCAGUGCUCUGGAAGCACAGCUCACAGGGACCAGGGAGGGAAAAGAAUCAUUACUAUUAGCCCUGUGGCUGAAACCUACUGUGUCAUUCUUCAGGCCCAACUGCGGCUCAGGCCCAAGUAUUCAUAAAACACCCCAUGGGUGCCCUCCCCCAGCUCCCAGCAUGGGCCCACCCCUUUCAUGGCUCUCCUCAUCCCUUACCUUCCUGUGCCCAUCAAUGACUGUCAAGGGCACAGCUGUCUCCGGCCACCUGGAUGGGAGUGGCCUCUCAUUGCUCCAGAGAACCAAGAUCUAGAGGAUAGGGGGUUGUUCUUGAAGUCUGGGAUCUGGGGCAGAAGGCGGGUUGCGAGGGGCAGGAGUGAUCUUUCUCAAGGUGGAAGAAGUUUGAGAAGUCAGCUUUGUAAACUGCACAUGGGAGAAGGGUUAGUUGGAUCCAUGGUCCUUUCACCGCUGCUCUGUCCUUGCCUCUGGGCUUGUAGAAGGCAGGGAUUCUGGUGACAUGAGGGUAGUGACCUGUGGCUUCAGAACUCAAGAGAGUUGUCUGUGGUAGUCCCUAGCCUGGGCCCUGACUCCAUGCUCCAUCCUCAUCUUUUCUCGAAGCCUUCAUUCUCUUCCUCAGGCUCUUUUAUGACUCCCAGCCCAGCUCAAUGGCCUGUUUGGAGCCUUCCUGUGUGCACCCUGGCUGAGCUAACUGCUUCACUUCCUCUACAAGGACUCUUAUUAAUCUAUCUGGCUUCUCUAGAAGUAAGAUUUGACAGUCUGUGUGCUGGAAAAUGCUAACCCAGUCUGACUCUCUGGGCAGAAUCCUUCCUUACUUUUUAUCUGCUCAGCCUUAAGCCCAGGGCCUAGUGCUCAGAAAAUGACUGCUGAGUAAAGGAAUGAAUGUUUCCUUCUCCAGCCUCCCCAAGAGACAUCUGCUUUUCACGUGGCUUCAUCAAUUUCCAUGGGGAAAAGGCAACAGAAUCUUGGGACUUACAGGAGGCAGCAAGAACACUUGGAAAUCUUCCCCGUGCCUCCCCUCAAAUAGUGGUCAUCUUUGGGGUCUGGAAGUCAUCAGGGCCCUGCCCUGUCCCUUACCCCCACCCUGGAUCCCAGGACUCCAGCUGGGAAGGGGGCAGACCUGGGCACAGUGCUGGGAGCCUGCCACCGCCUGGAUGAGCUUCAGAGGGGGCUGGCCUGGGGGCCCCACCCAGAUCAGGGCGCUGAAUCUGCCCUCAGGGCGGGAGCCUGGGGGAAUGAGACACAGGCUAUUAGAGUGGGAGGGAACAGAACCCCAUGAAGAAUGACCUGAGUAGGGAAUCCCCGGGGGCCAGGAAAAAUGUUAGGGCUUGGAAAGGGUCUUGGUGGGGCUCUCCAGAUGAGGCUGGGGCAGCCCUGGGUAGAGCUGAGGGGACUUCAGGUUGUCCCAUCCCCAGGGCAUACCCUGUUGCAGGUAGUAGAAGGGGAAGUCCUGGGGGCUUGUGGAAAAAGUAGACAGGGCCAGGAGUGCCCCUGGGGGGCUGUUCCACAGCAGUGAGGGGUGAGCUGAUGUUCCAAAAAUCCGGUCCUGAAUAACCUAAAAUGAGAGAGAAGCUGAGCAGAGCGAGUGGCCUGUGUGACCAUGGCCACACCUCCCCUUCCAGGCUCUGGGGAGGGUGGCAGCUGCAUCACCAGACCCCUGGGGUCAGAAGCUGAGUCUAGAGUAGGGGGCACUCCAUGAUGUUGCUCCAGAGGUGGGAGAUGGUGGCAGGGUCACUGCUUCCCCUUCCUUCCUCACUCAUGACAGAUGUCACUAAUGGGUCAUGACAUUCUUUCAGGACUCAGAAUCCCUCCCAACAUAGCAUCCCAGGCAGCCAUCGGCGGUCAACUGGCAUUGGUGCAUGCUUUGACAUCUAUUUGCCACAGCGGUCUUCUCUAAAGAUGGGGAAACUGAGGCCAAGAUUGGAGAAGAAACUUGCCCCAAAUCUCACAGCCAAGUCUCAGAUUCAUCCCAGGACCAUCUUCAAGGAAGGGGGGGGGGUUCCCCAAACACUGUGGCAGAGAAGUAUGGAGAGGUGACAGGGAUGAAGCAGGAGUCAAGAGCCAGGACCCCCAUCAGGUGAGACCCCUCACCUCCAGAGUGGUAUGGAUGACCUUCUCCACUGAGGAGAAGUAGGCAUCCCAUAGAAACUGGGUCUGCUGACGCAGGGCGAGGACCCGUGCAGGGGACAUCUCCUGGAGGGCAGCCAGGACCUGGAGCAGAGAGGGAGAAAAGUGCCAGGUAAUAGAGCAAUUUUGAGCCCAGGAGGUCGACGCUGCAGUGAGCCAUAUUCGUGCCACUGCACUCCAGCCUGAGCAACAGAGCAAGAUCCUAUCUCAAAAAAAAAAAAAAAAAAAAGAAGCAUUCAGGGGUCACACAGAGUUGGGUCUGAAUGCCACUUGGUAACCACGUGACUGUGGUUGAGCUAUUUAACCUGAGUAUUUGCUCAUUAAUUGCUUAGUACAUUGUAGAGGCUCAAUUAAAAAAAUGGUAAUUACUAUUAACCCCCUCUGCCAUUCUCAGGGGAUUCAAGGCAGGUCACACAUAUAUUUUUCAGAGCUGGACAAAAUUAGUUUCAUCAGAUGGAAAAGUCGCCAUGCGUUUUGCUUUCCCACUCCAGUCCCCAUGGAGGCGCUCUGAGUUUGAAUUUUUUUGUAGCCUUCCCCUAAAUUGGUAUUUAAGCAGUCACAGGCCAUUGGAGCUGGGCCCAUGGGGAUUGUCUGGUCUAGCUCAUCCUAUUGUAGAGAUGAUAAAACUGAGGCUGGAAGAGGAUCAGGACUUGCUCUCAGAACCCUUAGGAAUCUCUAGCUCCAUCAGAUCCUCUGGGAGCCCCAGAGGGGAGACUUGGUGCUAGGAGAAAUUCACCAGUAUCCAUAGAAGGCAGAUAGGAAUGAGGACUGAGGCCAGCCUCGAUCCAGGAUUCUAGGUCCCUCCCCUGUCCUGGGUCCAGUUCCCACCCUGUGGGCAGGGCUCUGAGCUACCUGAAGUGGGAGCCUCUCAUCAGCUACGAUGGCUGCCUUGGUCCAGUCGAUGACCUCGGAGAAGGGCAGCUCCCAGCGGGGGCUGAGAAGCACUGGGAUGCAGCCGGCCUGGGGGGCGGGGAGGUCACUGGGGAGCCCAGCCCCACCCUGCACAUACUCACCCCCCGCCCAGUUCCAAGUCAGUAGCUGCUGCUGUUGGGGGCAAGGGGCAAAGAGGACAGGAACAUGGGAUUUUUCAGGGAGGGGAGGUUAUGGUUGUUCUGCAGAGGGUGCAGUGAAUGGGGACACAGGCAUGCCUGAGUCCAGGAGUAAAGGAGCAGGCAGCUUACUGCCCCUUCUCAUUGGCCUGGACCCAGAGUACCCUGCCAGCUCAUGAGUGCUGGGGGACAGAGGAUGGGUGAUGCUCAAAUUGGGGUUGUACCUGCAGGGCUUGGAGGAAGCGCGAGGCAGCCUCGGGACGGUGGCCAGAGAUGAGGCAGAAGGUGGCAUUGGGCAGCGUCUCCUGGCGCUGGGUCCUAAAGAGGCACAUGGGGAGGUCCCACCACACAUGAGCCUGGACAGUGACCUUCGCCCCCUGGGCUCCCUCAAUGGGAGAACCCCACACCCCUGCACCCCACACCCACACUCCCAAAUGUGUAAACCCACUCAUGCAUAUGCACAGCCGCACACUGACGCACUAACACAAACACAAGCAUCACACCAGCCACGCAUCUGUGGUUGGACUAGGAGGCAGGAGCCCUGCAUUCUAGCUCUGCCUCUGCCCUCAGUGGCCUUAGACACCUCCCUUGCCUUUCUCUGGCCUCAGUUUCCUCAUCUGUAAAAUGGGAGGCAGCGGACGCUGAUGUUUCCGAGGCCCUGCCUGACUUAGACAUGCACGUCUGCCCUCCCCCACUCGGCCACAGGCAGACUUUCAGCACCCCUUGCCUGCGUGGCCUCUGAGCCCAGCCCUCCCCGAUGCUAAAAGCCAGGCCCGUGAAAGGCUCCUCUGUCAUGAGGUGGGCUGGGCCCCCAGCCUGGAACCACACAGGAAACUGCUGCCCAGAGGUCCCCUGGCCCAGAGGACAGGCUCCCUCUGUUCCUCCCACCUACCCCCUCCACCACCCUAGCCCAGGGCCACACUCAGGCUGUGUGUGCCUGUGGGGGAGGGCAGGAGUCCCAGCCUCCUCAGAGCCAGCCUGGCAAUUGUCCACCCAGGGGACCAUUGCCUGCAACCCAGCCAGGGGAGGGAUAAAGGGAGGGACCAGGACACAGGCCUGCUCAGUGUGGGACUCAUGACUAGGGCCCAGAGGGUACUAGGACCCUCCUCAGUUACAGCCUGUUUGGCUCUGAGCCUGAACCUCCAAGAAGCAGACCUGGGAGUACUUAGGCAGCCUCGGGGCCAUGCCCCAUUGAACAGAUGGGGAAACUGAGGCCCAGAGAGACCCAAGGACUGGCUCAGGGUCACAGAUAGGGUUGAGUGGAGCUGGGACUAGAGCAGAGAUUUGCCAGCUCCUGACCCUGAGUUAUCUGAACCACCCCAGAGCUGCUGCUUUAGGGGUCUUCCAGGGGACCCCAGCCUUCUUUGUCCUCCCUCCAUGCUUAAGUGUCCACCAGGCCCUCCUUGGAAGAAGCCACAAGUAAGCAUCAGGACACCCUUCACCUCAUGAAAAGCCACAGCAGAAGCCAACCAGGCUGUCUGGCCCAGGCAGCUGCCCGGCACUUCGGAGAAACUGAGGCUCAAACCACUCCAGAGAUGACAAGUCCUGUCACCUUCAGGGAGGCGGAGGCCAAAGACAAAACUUGAAGGUCAGAGUCCAAGGCUGCCAAGCUUCGCCCCUGGGAAAUAAAACUUAUCAAAAAUGCUACUCAGAGGGUGACCCACGCUAAUUAGAAAACCGUGGCCGGCUCUGGCCAAUUUCAGAUCCAUUAGUAAACAUUUAAUGAGCACCUACCUGCUGUGUGCAGCUCCCUAACUUCCAGUUUCUCAAAGAAGUUCAGACUGAAAUCACUUUCAGGUUCAUCAAUAAUGAACUGUGCUUAGCGGUAACUAAAGUCAGCUGAAAAAAGAACUUCCUGCAAGCAAGAGUACCUGAGUGCCUCAUCAGAAAAGUGAGGGAGGGCAUGGCAAAGGGAGAGCCUUGUCGCUCAAAGUGAGCUUCUGCCUGAGCGCUGAGCUGCAGGGGCUUGGGGGAGAUCCCUGACUUUUCAGGCUCCCACCUUGGAGACCACUAGGGAUAGGUCCCAGCAAAAGGACCCUGGGGCUGACCGGGACAAGUCCAUUCUUACUCCUGGCUGUGAGGGCUCCCUGGAGGCCUCCAUGUACCUUCAGGAAGUGGAAGGAUCCCAUUCCCACGAGAGCCCUUUGGCCGAGAGAAGUCCCGGGAGCCCCAAGCAGAGGCAAGAAUUCCUGGGAGGGAGUGGAGCUCAGAAUAGUUGAUGUUGUUGGAGCAGAGAAUAGGGAGAGAGACCUGAGGGAGGAGCAAAAGGAGGAUACCAGAGUGACAGUUCCCGACUCAGGUAGGCCCUGGGAGAUGGUGGGAUACAGAAGGAACCCUCUGCCACCGGGGCCCUGGACAACCUCAGAGGGACUCCCAUUCUUGCCUGCCCAGCUAGCCUUUAGAGGCUGCUGGCCUGCUGGGGACACAGAGGGUUAGAGUGCUUAGGGGAUAACUAUCACCUGAGGCGCAUCACCCCCAACUAGCCCAGGCGGAAAGAGUUUCUGUACAAGCUCACCACAUCCCACAGGCCCCCAGUCCCUUAUAUAUGUCAAGGGCCUCUCACUGGCAGGAAAUUCUUUAGAUCUGACCUGCGUCAUAUUUGCUAUAACCAAAGGCUGUUUCUUUGAGAGGUUAAUCCCCAAAAUUAGACACGGGAGCAGCUUCCAGCUGUGACUGUGAGGCCCUUCUGAGGCAUUUGAUGAGGUUGAUCAUAAACUUUUACUUAAAACUCAGAAUUCUCAUACUGAAGGCUUUGGAGAUAGGCAAUUCUGGAUCAAAAUACUGGCUCUUUCCGGCUGGGUGGCCUGAGAAAAAUUACUUAACCUGUCUGAGCUUUCGUGCCUGGUACACAAACACUUAAAUGCUAACAACUAGCAUAUUUUAUUAUAAUCAUUAUUUAUAUAAGUGCUUAGCACAGAGUAAGCACUAUACAACUGUAUGUGGGGAAAAAAAAUAUUAGGGUAGGAGGUUUGGAAUGAGUCGUGUUUUAUGUUUUGAAAGAUCCCCAGGGGAGAAUUCCAAAACCUACCUUAGACAACCCUUGCUUCAAGUCCCCAUCUUAAUGGAAGUGCUCUCUGCCAUCUAACCUGGCUCCCUCCUGCUGCUGCAGCUGAGGCCUAAGUCUACCAGGACUACCUGGUUCUCCCAUCUCAGUCCUGCCUUCUACCCUCGUUUUUGGGCUUGCGUCUAUUCCAGCCCCCUCCCAUCCAGCCCCCAAGGCAAAAGGUUCACUUACUGCCCAGGUCCAGGGUCUUGCUCACAGCGCCCAUCCCAGGGGCAGGCAGAGGAGCCAGUGUCUGCUGUGCGCCACCCACCCCUCUCCUCUUCCAGGGCUAGCAGGGCUACCCCGGGCUGGGGGCUGUGUUGCCGCAGCUGGCCAGGAGCCCCACCUCGCAACGGGUGGGCUUCAGGGAGAAAAGGGAGGGCCACAUCAAAGCCGGGCCGGAAGGAGUCCACCGUGGGGCUGGCCUCAGCCACCAUAGCCUGUCCCAGCUGGAAGGUCCUGGGGCAGGGAGCCGGGUGGAGACGGAGGACCAGAUGGUUCCUGCCCCUGUUCCAUUGCAGAGGCAUUGAGCUGCACUCUCCAGUCUGGGCGUCCAGGCUGAGGAGGAGGAGGAGGCAGGCCCCAGCAGGGCUGAAUGUGUAGAAGCGAGAGCCCUCAAUGGAAGCCAGGAUCCUGCGAUGAGUCUCAGAGAUGGUUCCAACCGCUGGGUACACGAAUACCUUAAGGCCAUCGCCCCUGCACUUUGAGGUAUCAAAGCAAGAUUCCCAGUUGCAGCUGCCACCAUGAGGGGCUUGAGGAGGUGAAACGGCAUCUUCUGGGAGCUCUCCAGGCUGGGAGAAGCUCUGCAGGAGCUCUGCAUCCAGCCAGCGGGGCCAGCCUUGGGAAGCCCCGGGCCGAGGUCUGGGAGGCAAUGCCAGGCGGAGAAGGGAGAAGCCUCCCAGCAGGACAAGCAGGAGCCAGGAGGCUGACAGUGCCAGCCACAGGGACUUUCUUCUCCUCCACGACUGCAUGUGGCCACCCACAGUCAGGGCUAGGGAAGCUGGGAGGCCUCUGCCAGCAAGCAGGAAGAGCAGGGCCUGGGGCGGGAGACCAGAGCUGGGACCGACCUGCUAGUCCUGUGCUGUCAUUGUACAGAUGGGAAGACUGAGGCCCAUCGAGACCAGGCCGCCUGUCUAAGGUCAGAUAGUGAGUCACCAGCCAGGCAGGAGGAGGCCAGGUGGGACCCAGCUUGCUGGCCUGGCCCCCCUGCUCUCAGGACUCUGCCUUCUCGGCCUUUGGACAACCAAGCCAGCCUUUUCCCUCCCAGCAGGGACCCCUGCCCCUGGGCACUGCUCUGGCUGACGCAACCCCUGUCCAGAAUGCAGGGCCGUGUCCCCCUGCCCUCCUGGCUGCACCCCUUGACCUUGCCCUCAACUGAGAGGAGGGCUGUCUGCCAGGCCAUGGGGACCAGUCAGAGCUCCCACAGGAGGCGGCUUGGCCAGGGACAGGCUGGAGGGAGCUGGGCUGGUCUUCCCACUCCUCCCCUUGCCUGAGCAGCCCUGGCUGCCCCUGUGCCCGCUGGCAGACGCUUCUGGGCUGUGGCCCCUGUGGCUGGAGCUAAAAUUAGACCCUGCAUCCCAUGUGGAUCAUCGGCGUCAGCUGAGGUCACAGCCUGGGUGCAGCCGGUGUCCCCCUGCCUUGGAGGGCCAGGAGGGCUCGGGGUCCUGAUCCUUAUCCACUCUGCCGCUGCACCAGCUCAGGAAGUGCAGCCCCUCUUCCCCGCAGCCCAGCAGCUGCCUUGCACCAUCUGGCUUGGAGCUAUCACAGUGCAGAGGCCAGGGCCGCUGUGCCAAGCCCCCCAAACCCUAUGGUAUCUCCUCCCAUCCCUCUCCAGUCGGCAACUGGCCCAUCCUGAUCUCUUUCCUUAGCAGCAGCCUGGCUCCUCCCCUCCCAGCCCUGAUUCGCUCCUGGCUGGGAGGCAGGGUCUCCAUUUAACCCCUUCCAAACCAGUUUCCUCAAUUGCUAAUCCAACCAGCAAGUACUGCAACUCACAGCUGGCCAUGAGUUAUCACAGCCUCUGUCUCUCAGUCCUCCAGCCACCCUCCAAGGCAGAGAUUUACCUGUCAUUUCUUACAGAUGAGGAAAGCUCAGAGAGGGGAUGAACUCUUCCUAAGGUGACCCAGCUAAGAAGUGGCAGGGUGGGGAUUUCAAUCCUGAGCUCCUGGUCGUUGGUCACCCCAGCUGUGGGCCCUGUGGCUGGAGAAAAACUAGACCCUGCACCUGCUGUGGGCCAUCAGAGUCAGUGGAGGUCAGAGCCUGAGUGUGAGGAAUCUCUGAAUCGGCACAUGAGAAGGUCAACAGGUGAGACAAGUGAGGAGUUAAGGGGCGGGGGUGGAGGAAUUGGGUAAGGUGCCCCCAACUGUCCCCAGGAUUGGUCUCUCCUCCUUCAGCAGCCCCACCCCCAAUCUCCUCCAAUUCCCAGCCUUUUGCUCCAGUCCUUAUGGAAAGUUCUUCCUGCACUUGACUCUUCCAUAGUCCAGGCCCCAUGGAGGGAUUUCCCCGGUCAGUGCCCUGUGAGGGGAGUCAGGAGUGGGUGAUGUCAGCCACUGAGGAAUCUCUGGGGUGACGGGGGAGACACACUCUGGCCAUGAGGAGUUCUGGGCUGAUGAGGGAAGGCACAGGGAGUGGACAGACUUGAGUGGGUUCUGCCUCUUCCCCUGACUGCCUCGGGGGUGUUGGGCCUCUGUCCCCUUAUCUCUGGGAUGGGCAUAAUGUCAGCCAGGAAUGGGUUGCCAGGUUGACGCAGGCCUGUCCCCUGAGGUCCCUCAACAAGUGGUGGCCUCCUUUCCCCUGCGUGCCUCCCCUUGAUCUUGGAGGGCUGCUGAUCAGACCAGGGAGCCACCGUGGGAUGUUUUGCCCUCAGUGAGCAGCCAGUGUGAGAGUCCUAAAAAUGGCCCACAAAGGGGACACUUGCCUCUUGGCACUAAUGGCUCAGCCACUCGGUGAUGAACUGCAGUUCCUGCAUAACUCAGUCCUCCCACACUGAGAGGCAUCCACAAAGGCCACUGGCUGCUUCGCACGCCCCCCCUUUCACUGUGCCCAGCCAACUCCUCAUCCUGCAGGAGUCAGCUGAAAGCUCCCUCCCCACAAGAAGCUUCUCCAAUGCUCCGCAGGCUGGGUUAGAGCCCCCGUCUAGGUCCUCAUGUCAUUCCUUCAUCCCUCUAUCCCCAUACACAGUCAUCCAUUCAUCUAACAAACACUUAUGAGUGUUGAAUAUGGGCCAGGUUCUGAGCUAGGCCAGGAACACAACCCUGAGUAAGAGUAAUCAUAGCUGACACUCGUAUUGCACUUACAGCGUGCCAAGCAUCCCUCUUUUGUAUCAGCUUGUUUCAUCCUUUCCCCAACCCUAGGAGGGAGAAACUGUGAUGAUCCACAUUUUACAGUUGGGAAAACUGAGGCCGAGGGAGCUUAAGUAAUUUGCCUGAAUUCUCACGGCUUAGCCAGGACUUGGACCCAGGUAGUGUGCUCCUAUAUCCGCUGCACCAUUCCAGCUCCCAACAGGGAGGGAGACAGACGCGUCCCCACCCUCCAGAGCUCGCUGUCCUGGAGAAGACAAUUAUAGAACUAGGCAAUUGCAGGCAAUUACAGAAUGAGGGGAGGGGACCCUGAGAGUACACAGAGGGGCUGCCUAGCCCAGGGGGCCAGAGAAGGCUUCCGAGGAAGUGAUACCUACCCUAAGACCUGAAAGACAGCAAUGUGGUUUUUAGAAAAAUCGCUGUGGCUGUCUGUGUGGGAUCAGACAGGAAAUGGCAGGACUGGAGGCAGGGACAGCUUUUUGACUGGUCUGUCACCCCACAAGUCUCUCAUUCAUUCAACAGCUAUUUACUGAACCCCUAUUGUGGGGCCAGGCAGGUCUUAAGGGCAGUGAGCAAAGCAGAAAAAAUCUUGCCCUCCUGGAACUUACCCUCCAGGGAGGGGAAAUAGGCAAGAAACAAAAUGAAUAAAUAUCUCAUACUAUUUGACAAUAACUGCUGGGGAGAUGGGAUGGGUUGCAAUGUUAGACAGAAAUACGGGAGGCCUCAUAAAAAAGCUGGCAUUUGGGAGGCUGAGGCAGGCGGAUUACAAGGUCAGGAGAUUGAGACCGUCCUGGCUAACACGGUGAAACCCCGUCUCUACUAAAAAUACAAAAAAUUAGCCGGGCGUGGUUGCAGGCGCCUGUAGUCCCAGCUACUCGGGAGGCUGAGGCAGGAGAAUGGCCUGAACCCGGGAGGCAGAGCUUGCAGUGAGCCGAGAUCGUGCCACUGCACUCCAGCCUGGGGGACAGAGCGAAACUCCAUCUCAAAAAAAAAAAAAAGCUGGCAUUUGUGGCCUGGUGCAGUGGCUCACAUCUGUCAUCUCAGCAAUUUGGGAGGCCAAAGUGUGCAGAUCACUUGAGGCCAAGAGUUCGAGACCAGCCUGGCCAACAAAGCAAGACCCCAUCUCUACUAAAAAUACAAAAACUAGCCCGGCGUGGUGGCGCACGCCUGUAAUCCCAGCUACUUGGGAGGUUGAGACAUGAGAAUUGCUUGAAGCUGGGAGGUGGAGAUUGCAGUGAGCCGAGAUUACGCCACUACACUCCAGCCUGGGUGACAGAGCGAGUCUGCCUCAAAAAACAAAACAAAACAAAACAAAAAAAACUCUGGCAUUUGUGUAAAUUUCUGAGAAAGUGAGGGAGUGAGUGAAGAAGUAUAUUUCUAGGGGAAAAUCGCUCCAGGCAAGAGGAACAGCCGGGCCACAGGUUCUGAGGCAGGAGUGUGCCUGCCACGUGAUUGGUACGCUCUGACCUUGUUUUCACAGCACGACUCAGGCUGCAGGGAAGAGGCCGGCUGUAGGGUCAGGGACAGCAGCAGGGAGCCCUGCUGGGCCAGGCUGUAGUGCAAGUGAGCCACUGCGGUGGCUGGGACCAGGAUGGCAGGGGUGGGAUGAAUAGAAGUAGUUGGAUUCUGGGUAUAUUUUAAGCCAGGGCAAAUUGACAGAUUUGCUGAUAGAUUAGAUGUGAGGUCCGGCCUGCACCACAGACAGGGUGGAGUUGUCAUUAACUGAGAUGGGGAAAACUGAGGGGAACAGUUUUAGGGAAGAAGAUCAGAAGUCUGGUUCUCAUAUAUCCUUCUUAUCCCCAGCAAUAAUAAAAUAAAUGUCCAGGUUGGGCACAGUGGUUCACACCUGUGAUCCUAGCAUUUUGGGAGGCUUAGGCAGGAGGAUCCCUUGAGCCCAAGAGUUUGAGACCAGCCUGGGCAACAUAGCGAGUCUUUGUCUCUACAAAAAAAAAAUUUUUUUUAACUGGAGCUGGUGGCUCAUGCCUGUAAUCCCAGCUGCUCGGGAGGAUGAGGUAGGAGGAUUGCUUGAUCCCAGGAAUUUUAGGCUGUAAUGAGCUAUGGGUGCCACUGCAUUCUAGCCUGGGCACAAGAGGAAGACCCCAUCUUUAAAAAUAUAAAACAAAUAUAAAUAAAUAAAUAAGCCAGGCAUGAUGGCAUGCACCUGUAGUCCCAGCUACUCAGGUAGCUAAGGUUGGAAGGUCAGCGGGAGGAUCUCUUGAGCCCAGGAGUUUGAGAUCAGCCUAGGCAACAUAGCAAGUCUGUCUUUAUUUAUUUAUUUUUUUAAAGAUAUAUGUAUCCAACAAAUACUUGUUGAAUGAGUGAAGGAAUGGAGGGACGGACAAAGUUGAGAUAGCUAGGAAGCCAAGCCCAGCUGGUUUGGGGUUUGGAGGAAUACCUAAUCCCGUUCUAUUAAUAGCUCUAUGUGUCUCCCACCCCAGCCCUGGGGAUGCUGGCUGGCUCCUGCCCAUGCCCAUAUUUGUGCACACACAUAAGCCUUCUCCUACCUUCAUCCCUGUGGAGGAGGCUCUCAGGCCAGCUGGAAUCUGGGCUUGUCUAGCCUGCGAUUCACGUGGUUGCCCUGGGGCUUGGAUGGAGGAAGAGAAGGCCAGGGCAUCCUGGCAGGCAGGACUGAGGUCAGGGAUCUGCCAGGGGCCUCCGUCGGGCUUUUCAGUGCUCAACAAAGCCACCAGGAGCCUCCAUCCUAUACCUGGGCUCUGAUCAGUGGGACAGAAAUGAUCACUUUGGGCGACGGGAAUGAGCCAGAGCAGGAAGGAGAGGACAGCACUGAGUGGGAGGAGAGGCCCUGGCCUCAGGUGCAAUGAAGGAGGCUUCCUGGAGGAGGCAGAGGACUUGUUUCUUACAGGACAGGAUUGAAGCAGGCCUUUGUGUGAAUUUGAGGACACAGAUGCCUCUGGAGGCAUCGCAGAGCUCUGAGCACUGCAGCGUGUGUCAUAGCUGCGGUGGUGUCACAGCUGCCUGGGGGCUGCCUGGGCAUGGGGGUGCUUCCUGCCUGAAGCACCAGGUGUCAUAUUGGCUAGGAUGCCCAGGCAGAAAAUGGGGGCUAACAAUACCGUGUUUCACCUGAAGUGUUUCCUCUCUGCACCCUGCUUGGCCUUCCUUCCCUCCCUCCCGCUUCAGGCUGGGCCUGAAAUCUGCAGAAGGAAUGGCCCUGGCCCUCAGAGGAAGGGACCCAGCACUAUAGAAUGCUGUGGUUAAGAGCACAGCUCAAGUGCUCUUAACAAGCCGUGUGUUCCUGUGAAGUUACUUCACCUCUCUGUGCUUCUGUUUCCUAUCAGUAAAAUGGGGAUGCUAAUAAUAGCUCCUUCCCUAAAGGCUUACUGGGAAGGAGAUUAAAGAAAUGAGGUAGUGAGUGUGCAGCAUUCAGCAUACCACGCCUGGUGUGGAGCAGGCGCCUAGCAAAUGGCAUCCUUCUGUCCCUCCUCAGACCCAGGGAGUUGAGGUGACUUGCCCAAGGAGCGCCAAGGUAUCCAUCUGGGUGGAUUGGGACCAAGACUUGGGCUUCCCCCUCCCUGUUUCUCUUGCUGCAUCUCCACCUCCAUUCAGGAAGAAAGAAGAUACUUGGACUCCAGGAAAUGAUCACCGUGGAAACCCAUCUGCUGCUUCUUGUCUACGGCUGUUUGUUCCUCCAGCUCUGGGCUGCCUGAGUGUCUCACAGCAGAAUUAGCAAGUGCGGAGGCUGAAGGUUUCUAGAGGCUCUGAGGUCACAGCUCUCGCUUGAGUGCACAUAACUAUAAGCCAUGGUGAGUCCCAAGACUCUGCAAUAUCAGUCAACUCCAGCAGACACUUCAGUCUGGCCCUGUAGACAACCCCCUAACCCCCGCCAGGAUGCAGAGCAGUUCCUGGACCCCACAGGGUGCAGGGCCAGGCAAGCCAUCCAGGGGACCUGGGGACGGGGGUUGGAGAAAGUAGGUUCUAGCCUCUGCUCCUCUUCUAGGCGUGGCUAUGUGAUCUUGGACAAGUCACACCCUUUUCCUGGGCCUUCAUUUUCUUUUUUAUUUAUUUUUUAAAUUUAUUUUUCAUUUUAAAAUUUGUUUUAGAAACUGGGUCCUACUCUGUCACCCAGGCUGGAGCGCAGAGGUACAAUCACAGCUCACAGCAGCCUCAAACUCCUGGGCUCAAGUGAUCCUCUCACCUCGGCCUCUUAUACCGGGACUAUGGAUGUGAGCCACCAGAACUGGUCCCGGGUUUUUCUUUUCUUUCUUUUUUUUUUUUUUUUUUUGAGACAAAGUCUCACUGUGUCGCCCAGGCUGGGGUGCAGUGGCGCGAUCUCCACUCACUGCAACCUCUGCCUCCCAGGUUCAAAUGAUUCUCCCACCUCAGCCUCCUGAGUGGCUGGGAUUACAGGCAACCACCACCAUGCCUGGCUAAUUUUUGUAUUUUUAAUAGAGACAGGGUUUUGCCAUGUUGACCCGGCUGGUCUUGAACUCUCAACCUCAGGUGAUCUACCCACCUCAGCCUCCCAAAGUGCUGGGAUUACAGGCAUGAGCCACCGCACCCAGCCUUGGGCUUUCAUUUUCUUAUCAUCAACCUGAAGUGGUAGCAGAACUAGGCUUUUCAGAGCAAAAAGAUUUGAAAUUCUUACUCAGAAGUAAUCCUGACAGAGCUUGGAAGGUCAAUCCUUCCAUUUCCCAUCCUGUCAACACCACUUUGUUAAGGAAAAUUUUGUAAAGCUUGGAAGUGAAGCAAUGAGGAGCCUGUGUGGCCUUAAUCCUCCCACUGGGGCAUUGCGUAACAAGCCCUCAAGUGUUGUAGGACUCCCUAAAGGGAAGUAACUUUGUUUGACCUUUUUUUUUUUGGAGACAGGGUCUCGCUCUGUCACCCAGGCUGGAGUGCAGUUGUGUGAUCAUGGCUCACUGCAGCCUUGACCUCCCAGGCUCAAGUGAUCCUCCCAACUCAACUUCCUGAGUAGCCAGGACUACAGGCCCACACCACCACACCUGGCUAAUUUUUUUUUCUUUUUUAGAGAUGAAUUCUUUGUUGCCCAGGCUGGUCUCUAACACCUGGGCCCAAGCCAUACUCCUGCCUCACCCUCCCAAAGUGUUGGGAUUACAGGCAUGAGCCACUGUGCCUGGCCUUGUUUGACUUUUUACUCCCUAUGUACAAACUUUUUUCAUUUUGUUUUGUUUUGUUUUGUUUUUGUUUUAGAUGGAGUUUUGCUCUUGUCGCACAGGCUGGAGUGCAAUGGCGCGAUCUCGGCUCACUGCAACCUCUGCCUCCCAGAUUCAAGCAAUUCUCCUGCCUCAGCCUCCCAAGUAGCUGAGAUUACAGGUGCCCACCAUUACACCCGGCUAAUUUUUGUAUUUUUAGUAGAGACGGGGUUUCAACACAUUGGCCAGGCUGGUCUUCAACUCCUGACCCCAAGUGAUCCACCCACCUCGGCCUCCCAAAUGCUGGGAAUACAGGCGUCAGCCACCGCGCCCAGCCUGGCCCAAACAUUUAAUAAGUCUGAGAACUAUGGUGCUAAUGUAUAGAAAACAGAUUUUUGUCCAAUAGUGAUACAAAUGACUUCUGACCAAUAGGGAUCACCCCUAAAGGUUCUAGUUCAUGCACUAUAGAGCAUUCCCCAAUUUGGAAUCUAACUAGCAAUCUUGUUCUGGCAUUCCCUGUGCUUCCUCAACUCCCAUCAGUGGGUUCUCUGAACCAGCUCUGUCAUCCUGAGAGUUGCCUCAUGAAUAAGUGAAACAACAGAGACAUGUGCUUACUGUGUAUUUGUAUGAUUUUUUUUUUUUUUUUACAUUUAGAGGAUUAUAAUUUGGGAGCUCACUGAGGCUCAUUUUCCUCUUCUGUAAAAUAGGGAAUUCAAGGGAGAAGUUGAAUGUGUGUCAGGCACUACUGAGCUCUUUAGAUCCAGAAUUUCAUUUAAGCCUCACAAGAAAACUGCCAGGGCAGAUGGCUAUUCCCCUGAUUUUACAGAUGAGGUUCAGAGAGGUGAAGUGAUUGCCCCAAGGCCACACAGCCAGUGAGUAACAGGCUGGAUUUGAGCCACUGCAUCACAGGAGGCUAAUUCCCUCCUCACAGGCUUACGGUGGGACUCAUUGGAUGAGAUAAGGGUGGAAAAGUGCUUAGCAAACUGUACAGGUAGAUACACAACUGAUCAUUAUAGUCAAUCCGAGCCCACCUUGCCUUACCUUUCUCCUCAUGCCACCUUGCCUAAGACCAAGUCUACCUCUAAUUAAUGUUGUCCCAGACCCAUAUGGACUUCCACUGGGAUGGCACCAGUUUCAAGAGGCUACAGAAGAGAAAUGAAGCCAGAAAAUGAGACAUAGGAUUUAUUUGAGGAGGCUUACAUACAGGAUGGUCCCAUGGUGGCAAGCUGGAUGGGAGAACCACAACCGCUUGCAAAAAAAAUGCAGUUUAUACAGUACCCUCGGCCAGGCACAGUGGCUCAUGCCUGUGCCAGCAUUUUGGGAGGCCGAGGUGGGUGGAUCAUGAGGUCAGGAGUUUGAGACCAGCCUGGCCAACAUGGUGAAACCUCAUCUCUACUAAAAAUACAAAAAUUAGCUGGGUGGGUGGCAGGCGCCUGUAAUCCCAGCUACUCUGGAGGCUGAGGCAGGAGAAUCAUUUGAACCUGGGAGGCAGAGGUUGCAGUGAGCCGAGAUGGUGCCAUUAUACUCCAGCCUGGGUGACAGGGCAAGACUCUGUCUCAAAACAAACAUAUAUAUAUAUAUAUAUAUGGCAUCCCCACAUAGCACCCUCCCUCAGCAUCCUUCAUGUGGCAGCUCUUGUUUCUUCAGUUAUUGCUGUCAGGUGCAUCUACCAUACACCAGCCACCCCUAAACACCACCCAGGGCCUCUCCCUCUGGGAGGUGGGUCUCUGCUUCCUCUAGAGUGAGUUUCUGUUAUCCAGAGAAAGCCAGGGGGGAUUAAGGUGACCAGGCAUCCCUGGUCCAUCCCCUCACACACAGGACCUUGUUCAUACCUCAAGCUGCAGGUUGAGCUUUUAGUCCUGGCCACCUCUUUGGGGGCUGUAUUCCUGGGACAGGGGUCUGGGGAACAUCCCAUAUUCCUGGGACAGGGGUCUGGGGACAAGCCAAGUGAAGUAAAUUUCAAACCCUGAUUCUGAAGCCAUUCUGUGCCAUCCUCCUGAAUGUCUCACCUGAAUUGGACCUGUUUGAAGGCUACAGAAGCCGUGCCCAGCCUCCCUCAAGUUAGUUUCUGGACCCUUCUAGAGCAGCCCACGUCUGAACACCUCAGCUCUGGGUACCAAGGGGUUAAUGCAUGGAGCCAGCUUGGCAAAUGUUUACCUAACAGGCAGGCUGCUGCCAACCCCAGGUAAUUAACAGUCUGCUUUCCAAAGCCCAGACACGAAGAUUUCUUUCUCCUCUCCUCCUUUCCCAGGGAUGCCUCUUGGCAGAGUGAACACAGCUGUCUGUUGGCUCUUUGAGAAGAUGCCCAGCAGAGGUGGGAGCUGAGGGCAGGGAUCAGGCCUGGAGGGAAGCAGGCCCAGAGGUGGGCACCAAGGAGGAGAUGGAGGGAGCUUUGUCCCAUUUCUCUCUGAGUCUUGGCCCCAUCUUGGAAACCUGGCCCCAGACUGCCAUUCUUGAAUAUGUGAUAAUUACUGCUAUAAUUGGUGGAGCCCCUGCAAGGGGCUUACAUACUUUGCCUCACUUAACUUUCACAACUACUAGAAGAGCGAGGCCCUCUUAUCUCUGCUUUCAGAUUAAGGAAGGGAGAUGCAGGGUGAUGAAAUCACUUGUCCAGGCUGGGGGCAGUGGCUCACGCCUGUAAUCCUGGCCCUUUGGGAGGCCAAGGCGGGUGAAUCACGAGGUCAGGAGUUCGAGACCAGCCUGGCUAACAUGGUGAAACCCUGUCUCUACUAAAAAUACAAAAAAUAAUUAACCGGGCGUGGUGGCAGGCGCCUGUAAUCCCAGCUACUCAGGAGGCUGAGGCAGGAGAAUCGCUUGAACCCAGGAGGCGGAGGUUGCAGUGAGCAAAGAUCACGCCACUGCAUUCCAGCCUGGGUGACAAGAGUGAGACUCCAUCUCAAAAAAAAAAGAAAGAAAGAAAGAAAGAAAGAAGUCACUUGUCUAGGGUCACCCAACCAGUGUGGGGUAAAGCCCAUACUUGAACCACAGUCUACUUUCCCUUAUGGAAGAAAAAGCAGUGGAUUUGUUCAGUACCUACUAUAUACUGGACGCUAUGUUGGACACUUUAUGUUUACCUCUAAUCCUGGAGGUGUCAUUUCCUUAAAUUGCUUUAAUAAGCCAUUAGCAUCAGAAGAGUGAGAUAGUCACUUGAGCCCAGGAGUUCAAGACCAACCUGGGCAACAUAGUGAGACCCCCCCC
Molecule: long non-coding RNA, 21781 nt
Filed under: Homo sapiens (human)
Lineage: Eukaryota; Metazoa; Chordata; Mammalia; Primates; Hominidae
Description: HSALNT0290926
Source: RNAcentral